Molecule: ribosomal RNA, 1419 nt
Filed under: Pseudomonas aeruginosa
Lineage: Bacteria; Pseudomonadati; Pseudomonadota; Gammaproteobacteria; Pseudomonadales; Pseudomonadaceae
Description: bacterial LSU rRNA
Rfam family: Bacterial large subunit ribosomal RNA
Source: RNAcentral
GUUAAGCCUGUGAAGGUGAGUUGAGAAGCUUGCUGGAGGUAUCAGAAGUGCGAAUGCUGACAUGAGUAACGACAAUGGGUGUGAAAAACACCCACGCCGAAAGACCAAGGGUUCCUGCGCAACGUUAAUCGACGCAGGGUUAGUCGGUUCCUAAGGCGAGGCUGAAAAGCGUAGUCGAUGGGAAACAGGUUAAUAUUCCUGUACUUCUGGUUACUGCGAUGGAGGGACGGAGAAGGCUAGGCCAGCUUGGCGUUGGUUGUCCAAGUUUAAGGUGGUAGGCUGAAAUCUUAGGUAAAUCCGGGGUUUCAAGGCCGAGAGCUGAUGACGAGUCGUCUUUUAGAUGACGAAGUGGUUGAUGCCAUGCUUCCAAGAAAAGCUUCUAAGCUUCAGGUAACCAGGAACCGUACCCCAAACCGACACAGGUGGUCGGGUAGAGAAUACCAAGGCGCUUGAGAGAACUCGGGUGAAGGAACUAGGCAAAAUGGCACCGUAACUUCGGGAGAAGGUGCGCCGGCUAGGGUGAAGGAUUUACUCCGUAAGCUCUGGCUGGUCGAAGAUACCAGGCCGCUGCGACUGUUUAUUAAAAACACAGCACUCUGCAAACACGAAAGUGGACGUAUAGGGUGUGACGCCUGCCCGGUGCCGGAAGGUUAAUUGAUGGGGUUAGCGCAAGCGAAGCUCUUGAUCGAAGCCCCGGUAAACGGCGGCCGUAACUAUAACGGUCCUAAGGUAGCGAAAUUCCUUGUCGGGUAAGUUCCGACCUGCACGAAUGGCGUAACGAUGGCGGCGCUGUCUCCACCCGAGACUCAGUGAAAUUGAAAUCGCUGUGAAGAUGCAGUGUAUCCGCGGCUAGACGGAAAGACCCCGUGAACCUUUACUGUAGCUUUGCACUGGACUUUGAGCCUGCUUGUGUAGGAUAGGUGGGAGGCUUUGAAGCGUGGACGCCAGUUCGCGUGGAGCCAUCCUUGAAAUACCACCCUGGCAUGCUUGAGGUUCUAACUCUGGUCCGUAAUCCGGAUCGAGGACAGUGUAUGGUGGGCAGUUUGACUGGGGCGGUCUCCUCCUAAAGAGUAACGGAGGAGUACGAAGGUGCGCUCAGACCGGUCGGAAAUCGGUCGCAGAGUAUAAAGGCAAAAGCGCGCUUGACUGCGAGACAGACACGUCGAGCAGGUACGAAAGUAGGUCUUAGUGAUCCGGUGGUUCUGUAUGGAAGGGCCAUCGCUCAACGGAUAAAAGGUACUCCGGGGAUAACAGGCUGAUACCGCCCAAGAGUUCAUAUCGACGGCGGUGUUUGGCACCUCGAUGUCGGCUCAUCACAUCCUGGGGCUGAAGCCGGUCCCAAGGGUAUGGCUGUUCGCCAUUUAAAGUGGUACGCGAGCUGGGUUUAGAACGUCGUGAGACAGUUCGGUCCCUAUCUGC